UACGGGAGGCAGCAGUGGGGAAUAUUGCACAAUGGGCGAAAGCCUGAUGCAGCUAUGCCGCGUGUAUGAAGAAGGCCUUAGGGUUGUAAAGUACUUUCAUCGGGGAGGAAAAACAAAACUAAUAAUUUUAUUUCUUGACGUUACCCGAAAAAGAAGCACCGGCUAACUCCGUGCCAGCAGCCGCGGUAAUACGGAGGGUGCUAGCGUUAAUCAGAAUUACUGGGCGUAAAGAGCACGUAGGUGGUUUUUUUAAGUCAGAUGUGAAAUCCCUGGGCUUAACCUAGGAACUGCAUUUUGAAACUGAAAUACUAGAGUAUCGUAGGGGAGGUAGAAUUCUAGGUGUAGCGGUGAAAUGCGUAGAUAUCUGGAGGAAUACCUGUGGCGAAAGCGGCCUCCUAAACGAAUACUGACACUGAGGGUGCGAAAGCGUGGGGAGCAAACGAGGGAUUAGGAUACC
Molecule: ribosomal RNA, 457 nt
Filed under: uncultured bacterium
Lineage: Bacteria
Description: bacterial SSU rRNA
Rfam family: Bacterial small subunit ribosomal RNA
Source: RNAcentral